AGCCUCUGAUUCCCUUUGCCAUCUCAUCUAAACACUGGCCUGGGUGGUCAUAAAAGGAGGAACAGGGACUCGGAAGCUGACCCCACAGUGCUUCGUAGCACGUCAGUUAGCUUCAAACAGGU
This 122-nucleotide small nucleolar RNA is filed under the name Dasypus novemcinctus (nine-banded armadillo). Its description in RNAcentral is "Small nucleolar RNA SNORA61 (ENSDNOG00000033221.1)". It matches the Rfam family "Small nucleolar RNA SNORA61". Rfam says of the family: ACA61 is a member of the H/ACA class of snoRNA that guide the sites of modification of uridines to pseudouridines. Lineage: Eukaryota; Metazoa; Chordata; Mammalia; Cingulata; Dasypodidae. The record is from RNAcentral.